This 273-nucleotide long non-coding RNA is filed under the name Panax ginseng (ginseng). RNAcentral's name for it is "long non-coding RNA (PGIN_LNC010651)". The record is from RNAcentral. Lineage: Eukaryota; Viridiplantae; Streptophyta; Magnoliopsida; Apiales; Araliaceae.
UAAAUUCUGAGACUCAUGCUCUUGUCACAGAGAACAGGGGCAGAAGCAAUUUUAGAAGAUCUCACAAAGGAGAUACAAGUCGCAGCAAAAGCAAAAACUACAGGAGCAAGUCAAAGACCAGACAAGGUGAAACAUAUAAAUGUUUCCAUUGCAAUAAGGAAGGUCAUUUCAGGAGAAAUUGCAGAAUCUGGUUAGACAAGCAGAAAAAUGGUGAGCAGGGAAAGGUUGAGGAAAAGAACACUGCAGCCACAGUCACCGAAGAUGUUGUGAUUC